Molecule: RNA transcript, 1258 nt
Organism: Vigna angularis (adzuki bean)
Lineage: Eukaryota; Viridiplantae; Streptophyta; Magnoliopsida; Fabales; Fabaceae
Exons: 6
Source: RefSeq, a predicted model, not a curated record
ACCGUACCUGAUCACCUAAACAUUUUCCCAAGUUUCCUCCCUCUCCGCGCCUUCGUUCCCUCUUUUCUCAAGCCCUACCCUAGUUGCGUCUUUAUCCCUUUUUCUUUGGCUCUAGAUCUAGUCUAAUUUUUCAGCAAGCCCUAUUCGUUCCCCGCAUCACAUCGUUUGUGGGCUUCACUUCACAGGUUUUCUCUCCUUUAAAUUCCUAACUAUUUUUCCUUCAUCUCCUUCAAAUCCCUUUUCCGUCCAUCUUCCGAUAAUGUAGAAAAGAGUUCGAAAACCUAGCCAGCAUGAAAAAGGGUUACGAAGGAAAGUUCUCUGUUUACGUGCAUGCAACCAAGACAAAACCAAUUCAUAUUGUAAAACAUCAUUCACAAGAAAUUGGACUUCAAAGACGAGUCUUUGUUGAUUUCUUCUGCAAUCCUGAGCGAUUAAGAAGCCAAGUCAGGGAACUGACUGCUCAGGUCAGAGCCUUGCAAAUUUCAUAGCAAUCCAAAUUGAUUUAACUUCCUAUGCCUGCGAACCAGUGGUCAAUUCCUAAUACCAUAGCAUUUCAGAGAAUCCUUGUUCCCCAUUAGACCUCAAUUUAAAGGGCAAAUUCGGAGUGUUUUCAGAAUUAUUCAUACAUUAUUCGUUUUUGUUUUCUUGUAUCCUUCACCAGAUAUUGUUCUUCCUCUGUUAACAAGGACUAGAAACUGGCAGUGUUAGGUUAUUUCUAAGUUUCUCUUAACCCAAGUGGCAAGAUGGUGUGCAUAACUUGGUCAUCCUUAUAAAUUGGGAUUCGACCAAUCAUAAGUUGCAAAUAAGAAAGGCAACACUUUCCAGAGGGAGAUUGGGAUCAUGAGCUUUCUUGAUCCCUGCUGCUUCAUCAAAUUUGUUGAAUAUUCUAGAGCUGAAAGAAGAAAUUCUUGGCCAAUGCAGAUUACCCAAGAUGCCACUGUUGAUUUCUGUGGCCACCCUGCACUUUCAUCCAAAACCGGAAAAUGGAAGGCUUGUGCUUUUCUUGUUGGGUAUGAAGCAUUUGAAAGGAAGGCCUUUUAUGGAGUGGCUUCAAAUUUGGUGAAUUACCUUACAAGCCAAAUUUUUGUUUAUGGUAUUAGAAGAAACGUGAAAGUGAUGGAACAAGGUAGUCCACUAGUCCACUAUUAUAUUAUUAUUGUAUGUUCACGAAAGAUUAGAGUAUCUGUCAUCAUCCUAUAAUGUCCAGCCACAAAGAAACAUAUAUACAUAUAUUCAAGAUAUGGACAUAUUUUUUUUA